UCGCCUACAUGAAGCUGGAGUUACUAGUAAUCGCAGAUCAGAAUGCUGCGGUGAAUGCGUUCCCGGGUCUUGUACACACCGCCCGUCACACCACGGAAGUUGGGGCGCCCGAAGCCACUUAGCUAACCCAUUUGGGAAGCGAGUGUCGAAGGUGAAAUCAAUAACUGGGGUGAAGUCGUAACAAGGUACC
RNAcentral lists this ribosomal RNA (190 nucleotides) under uncultured bacterium. Its description in RNAcentral is "partial 16S ribosomal RNA". It matches the Rfam family "Bacterial small subunit ribosomal RNA", at positions 1312 to 1500 of the family's 1533-position model. The record is from RNAcentral.